GCAAAGGGAGGGGAGAACUCAUCAGGAAAAUGUAGGAUCCAGAAAUGGGGAAUCCAACACAGGAUCAAGAUAGAGUGGAGCCCUGGAGGCAGCCCUGUUGCGGUCCCAGCGAGCAAAUAACACAGAUUAGAGUGAUGCCUCCAAGAGAAAAUGAAUUUUGAUCAAGCAUGUAAGAAGAAAUCCAUGUUCAACCAACAAGGGCUAAUAAGAAGAACUCUAAUAUUCAUCUCUUAUGAGGAAAUCAUCAUUGAGGCUCUUGAGCACUUGAAAUGUGGCUAGAUUUCAAAAUUUAGUAUGAAAAAUGUAAAAUAUUUCAUUAGUAAUUUUGACAUUGAUUGUAUGUUAAAAUGGUAAUACUUUGGAUCAUCAGACUCAAUAAAAUAUAUUAUUG
RNAcentral lists this long non-coding RNA (391 nucleotides) under Homo sapiens (human). RNAcentral describes it as "HSALNT0280706". Lineage: Eukaryota; Metazoa; Chordata; Mammalia; Primates; Hominidae. The record is from RNAcentral.